UUGACCUCAGAUCAGGUAGGACUACCCGCUGAACUUAAGCAUAUCAAUAAGCGGAGGAAUCCUAGUGAUUCC
RNAcentral lists this ribosomal RNA (72 nucleotides) under uncultured fungus. RNAcentral describes it as "partial 28S ribosomal RNA". It matches the Rfam family "Eukaryotic large subunit ribosomal RNA", at positions 1 to 78 of the family's 3401-position model. Lineage: Eukaryota; Fungi. The record is from RNAcentral.